AUUACCGCGGCUGCUGGCACGUAUUUAGCCGGGGCUUCUUCUGCAGGGUACCGUCAUUUUCGUCCCUGCUGAAAGCGGUUUACGACCCGAAGGCCUUCAUCCCGCACGCGGCGUUGCUGCGUCAGGCUUUCGCCCAUUGCGCAAAAUUCCCCACUGCUGCAUCCCGUAGG
Molecule: ribosomal RNA, 170 nt
Filed under: uncultured Banisveld landfill bacterium BVB41
Lineage: Bacteria
Description: partial 16S ribosomal RNA
Source: RNAcentral